This 497-nucleotide ribosomal RNA is filed under the name uncultured bacterium. Its description in RNAcentral is "partial 16S ribosomal RNA". It matches the Rfam family "Bacterial small subunit ribosomal RNA", at positions 335 to 867 of the family's 1533-position model. The record is from RNAcentral.
AANCNUGGGCGAGGCAGCAGUNCGGAAUCUUGCAAUGGGCGAAAGCAAGANCAGCCANCCGCGUGGGGGACGAAGGCCUUCGGGUUGUAAACCNUUANGGGANGAAGACGGUCNCCAAGGAGGAAGCCCCGGCUAANCGGGCCAGCAGCCGCGGUAAAUGNGGGGGCGNGCGUUUUCUGGAAUUUNUGGGGGUAAAGGGGGGGUAGGGGGCCUUUUUAAUCCGGUGUGAAAGGCCCCGGCUUAACCGGGGGGGGGCAUUGGAAACUGGUCGGCUUGGGUNGCGGGGAGGGAUGNGGAAUUUCCGGUGUAGCGGUGAAAUUGGUAGAUAUUGGGAGGAACCCCAGUGGGGAAGGGGCCUUUGGGCGGNACCUGACGCUGAGGCANGAAAGGUGGGGGAGCAAACCGGAUUAGAUUCCCUGGUAGUUCCAGCCGUAAACGAUGAUUGNUAGGUGUGGNGGUNUCGACCCCUGCAGUGCCGCAGNUAACGCAAUACNCNC